Marmota monax (woodchuck) is the source of this 3445-nucleotide long non-coding RNA. RefSeq lists it as uncharacterized. Lineage: Eukaryota; Metazoa; Chordata; Mammalia; Rodentia; Sciuridae. The record is from RefSeq and is a predicted model, not a curated record. The transcript is spliced from 6 exons.
GCUGACACAUGGCUGUCACCAUCCAGAAAGUCAUUACUUUUUGGACCUGGGACCCACGCGUCCCCGUCAUGUUGGGACUGCCAAGUCGUGUGGCCACUCCUGCUGUGGUCUAAGGGGUCUAGAGGUUCCCCCCCAGAAGUCAGGACCAAGGAGGGAGAGACGGAGGGAGGACUCCGGAGGACACUGGAGCCCCUGGGCAGGGAGUCCUGGAGUGAAGAGCCAGGUGCUGAGGACUCACGGAGUGGCCUCCAACCUGCGAUCCUCUGGGCUCACCCUCCCGAGUCACUGGGAUUACAGGGGUGUGCCACCACACCUGACCCUUGUGUGUCUUCUGGAGGGUGGCACAUGUCAUGUGAAGCCCAAGACAGGGGUCCUAUGUUUUCACAGGACAGCACAGUGGUGAUGGCCCCCUCCUGCCACCCCAUGGUCUUGGUGGCAGUGUUUGCAGGCUCUGUCCAGACAUGGAGACAUGGAGAGUCUAGGUGACAUACUGACAAGGUUCCAAGCCUUUAGGGAUGAAGCAGAAGUCGUGGAAGAUACUUUGAUGGUCUAGGAGGCAACGCAGGCCAAGGUGCCCGGGAUGAGAUCUGGACGUUCUCUGCUUCAGAGUUGCUUGUCCCCGCAGUACAGGAGACCAUCUUAAAUGGCACAUUCUCAUUCAAAUGAUGUCAAGGACAUCGGAGAAUUGUGCUGGGGAUCAGAACAUGAUACCCACAUGCAGCACCUCGGUACCUCCUGUUUUAAACUGAAGUCAGGUGAGAGAACAGCAGAAGCAGGAGGGGUCUCCCGGCCUGCUCUUGCCCUGCCCGGAGGCCUGGCUCAGCUCUACUGGGCCCUAAUCUGCCUUGCUUUGAGGACACUGCCUGAAGGUCAGGAAUCCCUCUGCAGGGUGGCUGGCUGGAAGCGCUGGGUCUGAGCCCCUGCCAGGGAGACCAGACACCUCUGACUUCAGGAAACAGAAGACGCGACAGUUCCUCCCCCACUUCCUUUGUCCUGUGUCCAUAACCUCCCCCCAAGGGGUGGGAAGCCAAUUUUAGAGUUUCUUUCCCAUUUCUACCCUUGGCCAAGGAUGGAAGCCUGCUUUGCUGCUCAGUCCAUGCUGGGUCUUGUUUCCUAAUUCCAAGAGAGAAAAGGGACUCAGGCUUUGGGAUCAAAACUGUGACAGAAGGCCACUCUCUGACCUUCUCCCACAGACCUGCAGGUGGCCGAUUCCUGCUGUGUACCCGGAAGAACACAGAAGCAGGGAGUCUGAACACACAGCCUUGUCCAGCUCCCUGCCUAGCCCUACAGGUCAUCCCCUCCUUGUCCAGGGGUGCCUCUGAAUGGUAUUUGUCAUCAACCCCAACAGGAACCAGGAGCAGAAGCACGUGCCUGUAAUCCCAGCAACUCUGGAGGCUGAAGCAGGAGGAUUGCAAGUUCAAGGCCGACCUCAGCAACUUAGUGAGACCCUGUCUCAAAAUACAAAAUAAAAAGGGCUGGGAUGUGGCUCAGUGGUUGAGCACCCCUGGGUUCAAUCCCCAGCACCAAGGGAAAACAAGAGCAUAAAAUGCGGUUUCUCUUGGGUCUUUGGGUCUUCAUUUCCUAGGCUCCUGGUCAUGUUGAAUAAAUAAGGCUCUGGUUAAAUAAAUAUGCCCUUCUCUUGUCAGCUGUCAUCUGUUAUGGAAGAGCAGCCGUGGCCCUGUGAUGAGUGAGCAAAGACACUGCUUUCUCUCCCCUGUCACUGCCACUGUCGCCAUUCAUUUUGCUGACAGGUCUGUCACUAACAAGGCUUAUAUGUGAAAGAAGCAUCCGGUGAAGUUAUACCUAGAACAUGGCCAUGAUUUCACCAAAGGCCCCCAGGCCUGCCGUGCACCCCACCACACCCUCUAGGAGUGGGACGUGGCGACGUCUUUCCCUCGCUGUUUACGGGGUCUCAACCUGCAGGGCUGAUGGACCCUGGCCCUUUGUCCUGUAGGGCUGGGCAAGACAGCGCUCUCUUUUCCAGAUCCACAAGCUCUCAAAUAGCACCUCAAAUCUGUUUUGUGUGACAAGUGUUUUGCUCGUAUUUCCCGAGUUGGCUGUGGGAGAGGAGGAUCCAGCUCAGUUCCCCGAGAGCACGCCCUCCUGGCUCCAAGACACCGAGUCUCAGGGGGAGCAGAAGCUUAUCUAGGAUUAUUUACCUGGUGCAGAAAUGGCUCUUUGAAAAGUCCUUCUGCUGCUGUGUCAACAGUGGCUCUUAGUUAAGCGUGAAUUAUUAACACAUUCUCAAGAGAAGGACACAGAGAGGCCAUUAGUGCUACAUCAUAGUUACUUAUGUGACACUUUUUGGCAGUUGCUUAAAACACUUGCAAAGUCUACAGACUCCAAACGUGCAGGGAGGCGGGCCCGUACACAGUUUGCACUGCAGUUUCACAGACUGGAAAUUAAGUGGCAGGGCUCGUAUUUCAAAGCGUUCUCUUAAUACCAAGGAAUCCUGUGGGUUGAGGAAGGAGUUUCUUUCUGAGGACAGAAAAACCCCCUUCCCAAAGCCACCCUCGAAGCCCCUCUGUCCCAUGUGGCUUGUUUUCCUCUAAAGUGGUUGCCACCUCCCUGUCUUUGUGCUAAUAAUCAACCAGCAUUUGGUGUCACCAGGUGGGAACAGAAUAUUCCAAGGACGUCAUGACCCAACUCCAGUUGCUAGGCGACAGCUCCUUCACCUGAGAUGGACAGAACAGGUUAGGGGAGAUACCAAAAAGCAGCCUUCUGUUUCAGAGUCUUCUAAUUCAGUGGACCCAACAGUGACGUCCUGGGUGUGGCCGGGUAAGCCGGACCCAGGAUCCCGUGAUAACAAGUGCCAAGCUGCUGAAGUCGCGCAGAGGAAUGUGUUUAAAGGAGUCGGAGCCCUGACAAGUCCUGAGCCUAAGACGGAGGUUAGGAGGAGGUGGGACUCCAGAGAAGCACGGCCCUCCUGCAGCUGCCUCGGUCCUGGGGCAUCUGCUGAUGGAGGCCAAGGAGCUAAGCAGCACUUUUGUCCUCCUCAUAGGCAGGAGGUCAAGAGCAGAGGUCUAGUGCCUGCCAAGGUCAGGACCUUCAUAAUGCCUGAACUUUGGGUGGGGAACACAGUGGGCCAUGCCCUCAGAGUAAGGAGGGAGAGAACUUAUCCUCACGUGGACCGUGGCUCUAAAGAUAUCUACCACUGAUGUUGUAUGCAGGUGACCCCAGGUUGUUAGUACCUCCUGGCACCUGGCUGAAAUAAAAGAAAACCAUUGCAACCUCCUUCCAGCCUCAAAUGAUUCCUAAGCAGUCUUCCAAAUACAGUCUUGUCAUUCCAUCCACGAUAACCAGAAGUACAAGGAGACACCACAUCGCAAAUUAGAACUAGCAAAGAACAGGCAAUCGGGACACACGAGGCUACAAAUGAAAGAAUUAUCAGACACAGUCUCUACAACAGCGAUGCUUAUGGCAUUCAAGGAUAUAAAAGAGCAUU